ACUCAAAUGAAUUGACGGGGGCUCACACAAGCGGUGGAGCAUGUGGCUUAAUUCGAGGCUACGCGAAGAACCUUAUCCUGGGCUUGACAUGUCCGCAAGGGUGUAGACGUAGGGACCGGAAACGGCACCCCACAGGUAUCCAACCCUGAGCUACACACAGGUGCUGCAUGGCUGUCGUCAGCUCGUGUCGUGAGAUGUCGGGUUAAGUCCCAUAACGAGCGAAACCCCUGUCUCCAGUUGCCAGCGAGUCAUGUCGGGGACUCUGGAGAGACUGCCGGUGUCAAACCGGAGGAAGGUGGGGAUGACGUCAAGUCCUCAUGGCCUUUAUGCCCAGGGCUGCACACGUGCUACAAUGGCACGCACAGAGGGACGCGACUGCGCGAGCAGGAGCCGAUCCCGGAAAACGUGCCCCAGUUCAGAUCGCAGGCUGCAACUCGCCUGCGUGAAGUUGGAAUCGCUAGUAAUCGCGGGUCAGCAACACCGCGGUGAAUGUGUUCCUGAGCCUUGCACACACCGCCCGU
RNAcentral lists this ribosomal RNA (521 nucleotides) under uncultured bacterium. RNAcentral's name for it is "partial 16S ribosomal RNA". It matches the Rfam family "Bacterial small subunit ribosomal RNA", at positions 899 to 1397 of the family's 1533-position model. The record is from RNAcentral.